This is a long non-coding RNA of Meriones unguiculatus (Mongolian gerbil), 6224 nucleotides long. RefSeq lists it as uncharacterized. Lineage: Eukaryota; Metazoa; Chordata; Mammalia; Rodentia; Muridae. The transcript is spliced from 3 exons. The record is from RefSeq and is a predicted model, not a curated record.
AGGAAAGUAGAGAGGAGCCCGCAAGCCGCGCGGCGGAGGGCGCCGGGGCCCGGCCGCUGCUGGGACGGUGCCUCCUCCGCCGCGCCGCCCGCCGGCCGGCUCCGUGGGUCCGGUCGGGGCGCGGCGUCAGGCACGGGCGUCUCCCCGCCCAGGGCCACACCGGGGGGGGGGGGGACACCGAACUCCGGGGGUCGCCCUCGGCCGGGGCAGGGGCGGCCGGGCCCGCACGCUCGGACCCGCGCCCUCCGUGCGGCGGCGGCGGCGGCGGCGUGCGGGCGCCCCUGGCCGGGCGCGCCUCCUCCCCCACGCCCCGAGUCCCCGCCCGGCCUCCCCGCCGCGCCGCCCUCCCGCCCGGCCCUCGCCCGGUGCUCCCCACCCCCACCCCGAUGCGGCCGCGGGCCGCCCCGGAGCCGGCCCGGGGGGAGGGGAGGAGACGGGCGAGGGAGGGACGCGGCUCUCCGGCGGGCGGGUAGCUCUACCUGGGUCGAAUUCGGGGAUCCGAGCUUGGUAUUCGGCGCCGACUCUCAUCCCAACAUCUGCAAAGCAAGGCCAGGAAAUGUGUAAUGCAGGUGAUCUCAGGGGAAUAAAACAAGCAGACACAGAAAGGCAAAUGGCGUCUACUCUAAGAAGCAUCGGCUUUGUGGGAGGGAAAGGUAGGCUUGUCACUCGCACCUUCUGGUCCAGAGAAGAGGUCACAGCGGAAGCAGACUUGCUUUCUUGGCGCUUGGCCUUCACUCAUGCAGGUAAUCUCUGUGGCUGCCUUGGCUACUCAGUCCAUCCUGGUGAGGGCAGUAGAUGAGUUGGUCGGGGGACAGGGUGCACUGGUGGGGACUGGAUUGUGCCACAGAUGGCAUCUCCAUCCAGGAAGCAGAAAGAGGGCGGUUCGGGCUUGCAUCUUUUCUAACACUGCCUCCCCAGGCCUCACGGAGCCACCCAGGAGCUUACCAAGGGUUGUAUGUGAAUACUUCCUACCUCUGAUGGCCUGAAGACACCCGGAUGCCUCAUCCCUUAAAGUUUCCACCAUUUCCUGGUGCUACCACCUGGGAACCAAGCCUUUGAGAGCAACUACAUAACCUUCCCCACUCCUGCCCUUCUCUCCUCCCUACCUCCCUCCCUUCUUUGUUCUUUCUUUUAUUAUGCCUUACUGGAUUUAACUCGGUUUGCUUACAGGAACACAAAUGGAGGGGCAUAUUUACAGAAGCACGGGCACCUUACCUGUGGUUAAACCACAACAGAAAAUCUGUCUUCCUUUUCCAGUAAUCAUUAAUUGCAUUUAUAUCCUCCGGGAGGUGGGGGGACCUCAGCCUCCCCUUGGUCCCCCAUUGUAAUGGAGUUAAUGGGCCCAAUCAAAUCAUUUUCAGGUCUCAUGCUGAUAAUCAGGGCUGCUGAGAAGUCAAGAGUAUAACAAGCAGGCCAUACCUGCAAAAAGGUUGGAAUUUUUAACACUGCCUUUGAAAGCUGUCUGUGAGCCCCGAGAAUAUACACGAUUCAAGUCUGUGUCCUAACGUGGCUCUUACACCGGAAUGUCGAUGCAGAGUGGACACGUCCAAGUUAGUUACAGCUGGCUCAACAUCUGGCUCUUCGACAAAGACACUGGAAAGCAAAACAAGACCAAGCACCAAGCAUAUGAGACUUACUGUCGUAAGGACGCGUAUUCCCUGUGGGAGGAGGGUAAUUACGAGGUGUGGGCUAGGGGAUGUGUGAUGCUCAGUUUUAACUGUCAACUUGACACCACCUAGAAUCAGCAGAGAAGAGCGUCUUGGCGAGGAACUAUCCAGAUAAUGACGGCCUGUGGGAAUGCCUGUGGGGACUGUCUGGAUGGAUAACUUACGCAGCCCACCAUGGGCAGCACCGUCCCUAUGCUGCACCCUAAACUGUUUAAGAGUAUAAAAACGAUGUCAGCAUGGGUGUGACUUGACUGUGAAUGUGGUGUGACCAGAUGCCUCAAGGUCUUUCAUUUUUAAAAAAAAUUAUUUUACAUAUGUGGGUGUAUGUAUGUAUGUCUUUGUAUCAUGUGCAUGCAAUGCCCCAGGAGGCCAGAAGAGGGUAUCCUGGAACUGGAGUUACAGAUGGUUGUGAGCCAACACGUAGUUGCUGGGAAUCAAACCCUGAUCCUCUGGAGGAGCAGUGGGGCCCUUGAUGACAGAGUCAUCUCCCCAUCCCACCAUCUCAAGCUCUUGCCCCGUGACCUCCCUGUGAUAGUGGACGGUAGCUGGAACAGUAAAUCAAAUAAACUUUCCUUCCUAACUUGUGUUCUACCAUGUGUCCUAUCACAGCCACACAAAUGACACAGAACAGCAGGGUGGACUGAAGGCACAGAGCUGCUUGUGACCGAGCAAAGGUUAUGACAGAACAGCUUUACAGCGAGGCUAGAGUGUGCACACAGAUUUAGUAGCUCAUGAUCUUGUAGUUGGGUUUUUCGUUUGUUUGUGUGUUCACAGUGUUGUAUACAAGUAGGAACAGCCAUUUCUGGAUUCUUUCACGUAGGAGUGAGAUUUUUUAAUUUCAGUCUUUAUUGAUCGUGUCGUGCUGUGUGACCGAUGGCACCUGUCUCACACCCGGAACUGGAGCAGAGGGCCAGCCUCACCUCAGACAGGCAACUGCCCACCACCAGCCUGCAGCUGCACUUCGUGGGGACCAUUGAGCUUCAUCCGUCAGACUUCAUAGUUCCAGGAUCCAGGAAAGUCCCUCAAUGUGCUAACCUUGCUUUUUGGGUCUUGCCUCUUGCUAACUCUUCUUGCUCGCCGAAGUGUGUCAACCAGGAUGUGGUUUUGUCCAUAAAAGAAAAAGUGUGUUGAGUCUCAGGGCUGCGAGGCUCGGGCAUGAUCUGCUUCUGGCGCAGCACAGACUUUCUGUGAAGUUUUAAGAACAUCUGUGUGUGUCCCCUGGGGGAGCCACAUUGUGACAAUGGGGCGAAGGUUAGCCAAAUGAAAGUAAUUAUUUAAAGAAACUAAGCUGUCAGAGUAUCACAACAUCAGAACAAAGCAGGGCCUAAGAUGGCUGUUUUGAGGGGGGCUGGUUUUCAUCAGAACAAAGCAGGGUCUAAGAUGGCUGUUUUGAGGGGGGCUGGUUUUUGAGAUUAUUGUCUUUGUUUUAAAAAUAGUAUUUUUAUAUUUAUUCUUUAAAUAUUUCAUACGUGUCUACAGUGUUCUUUGAUCUUGUCCAUCCCCCACCACUUCCCGCCAGCUCUUCCUGGAACCAUCGUCCUCCCGCCAUGUCCUCCUUAACAUUAUUGUUAUCAUUCAUUACCCCCCAGCUUUGCUCAGUGCUGACCGUGGAUACUUGGACAGGGGGCCAUCCAACAGGACACAGGCAGCUAAAUCAGCAGCAGCAGCAGCCAAAAGUGACUCUGCACGCCUCAUCAGCUGUCGAUUGCCAAUAGCUCCUGAGCUGGGGGGAGGCUGUGCACCUUUCCCGUCUCUGCUGGAGUCCUGCCUGUCUUCCUACUGCACAGUCAGCGAGAGCUGCUGGGAGCUGAUGUGUGCGCAGCCACGUCGUCUCAGAAGGCAUCGUCCACGGCUCCCCUCCGCCUGCUCCCCCUUGGCGUUCCCUGAGCUUUGAUGGAGGGAGGCUGAAGAGAGGAGUCAUCCACCGUUGACUACUCCCAGCUGCUUUUGCUCAGCGCUUUGGCCAGUUAUGAGCCCCUAGCCGUUACCAUUUCCCACUGCGGAGAGAAACACCUGUGACCAGGCUGAGGGCAGUGCAGAUCUGUGGGUAUAGACGUAAAUAUUACGCAGAUGCUUUGACAACUGGAUCGUUUAAUGGAGCAUCACCAGAAGGUUCCCUUUCACUAGAGAGUGAUUUCAGAAAAUGCUGAUUGUGUUUGCUUCUGAAGAGCCAAGCAUAACUAGCCAGUUUUCUACAUUUACUGAUGAAUGUUCUUAUAUCCAACCCCACACACACUGAAGAAUAUUGCUUUAAGGACAUUUCAACCCAGAACACCCAUGGUUUCAGAACCGCCCUUGCUCCUCACAUCAGGUGCUUGGUUGAUUUUCUUUCUGCUGCCGUGUGAGUUUCUGGAGAUGCAAGCAGAGCAUGUCUGGUUGCAGAUAUGCUUCAUUAAUUGCAAGGCUAAUAGAACUGUGACUUCCCCAGGAAGCAGAAGUGGAAAGAUAAACAGAAAACUGAAGACAACACAUUCUGUUCAUGGACUUCAGAACCAGGACUCCUUAGCCAUUUACUUGCACCAGGCUUGGAGUUGAGGUCUCAGCUGGUCGCUGACUGUAAAACCUCAGCAAGGACGUCUGAGUGUCCUCAAGGUUUAAAGGCUCAGGCAGUCUCCAGGGAGGAGCUUUGCUUCCAGCUGCUACUGCCCUUCCUUAUUCUUCUGUGUGGCUCUGCUCUGGUCAUAGCGAUCAUUCUCCACAGGUGCUAAGCACAGAGAACAGAGUCAGCGUUUUCUCUGCUUAGGCUCAUUUAAUCCUCACUACGACAUUAAGGCCUGUAACCUUUGUAUUGCAGAGGAGAGAUUAGGUAACUGACAAAGGCUAGACCACUUAGUAGGUUGCAGAGGCAGCACUGGUGCAGGCCUGCUGGCUGACAGAUGCCUCCUGAAGCAGCACUGCGAGGUGGCAGGAAUGCAGGCCCUGGGCCUCCGGUCUGGGCUCAGUCUCAGCUGGGUGUAGCUUGGGGACAUUGUUGAGCCUCUCAGUUGCCUUCGUUAGGAAUGAGAUGGUUCACUCAGUUAAGCUCAGCAGGAGAUCUGGACGAGUGGUGUAGAGACCUGAACGCAGACGCUCCCUCAGAGAGCUCGAAGCUAAAACAGUGAGAAGAUGCUCCCGUCUGUCAGAAGAGCGGAAAUCCAGGGCAUUGGUGAUGGUGCGGGGCAGCGGAACGCCUACUCCCUGCUGGAGGGAAGGCAAAACAGUAUCAUCGUUUUUGGAAAAUGUUUGCUCGUUCUCGUAAAAAGAAACACAGCCAGCAGUUGUGGUCUUUAGUAUGUGUUCCGAUGAGUUGAGAACAUCUCCAUUACAGAACGUGAGCACCGACGUUUAUAACAGGUUAAUUCAUAGUUACCAAGACUCGGAGGCAGCUGAUAUGCCCUGCUAUAGGUGAGUGUGCUCGCCUGUACAGGGAAGCGGCUGAUACGGCCUGCAGUGUGUGAGUGUGCCACCUACACAAGGGAAUGCUACCCACAGAGCUUACACAAGGGCAUCUGAAGAACAGAUUGCUAAGCGAAAGAAGUCACAAUAAAAGACGGUCUAUUAAAUUUUAAAUUUCAACCACACGUCAUUCUGAAAAAGGCCAACUAAGCAAAGCAAAAGCAAUCAUUGGUUGCCAAGGACUAGAGGCACGCUUCUCAGCCUUCCCGAUGAUGCAGCUCCUCAUGAUGUGGUGACCUCCCCCCACCAGCAAAGUAUUUCAUUGCUUCUCCGUAACUGUAAUCUUGCCACUGUUAUGACUUGUACUGUAAACACAUGAUAUGCAGGAUACCUGACAUGUGACCCCUGUGAAAGGGUCACUUGACCCCCAUAGGGGUUGCAACCCUGGGAUGAGAGCCACUGACUUAGAGGGAAGAGGGAUGGAUGGAUGGGGGUCGCGGAAGUUACAGAUGUGGUAAACCUGUUUCAUGUGACACUGUGGAGCUAAAUGCAUGCCACUCUCCCCUUGUGAAAACUGAACUGUGCAUGUUGUAGAAUUUAGUUAAUAGUACAUCAGCAGCAGACUGGGCACAUACCUAACACGCACGAGGCCCUGGCCUCCAUCACCAGCCUGUAAAGGAAGAACCAGUGUUGGGGAAUCAGCGAUAAUAGAAGCACACCAGAGCGAGAUGUUAGUAACUGGGGAACUAGUAUGUGUAAUAAGAUUUGGGGUAGGAGUGUGGGGGCUGUCUGUAUUCCCUAACCUUUUUAAUAAACCAAAACAUGUCUAAGAGGAGAAAGGUUUAUGUGACCUGAGGAGAAAGCCGACCAUUAAAGCAUCUGUGAAGACUAAAUCUAUCGUGAAGGUGGGGUGCCUAAUCCAGCACUGGACAGACUGAGGCGGGGUGAUCAAGAGCGGAUGCCAGACUCGGAUACAUCCAUUCUAGGCCAGCCUGUGCUGCAAAGUGAGACUAUCUCAAUGACGAAGCAACACCAACAGAAAACACACAAGCCAAUUAUUUACAAAAGAGUAUUUCACACCCACCUACCCACAUAUAGGCACAAGCACAUGUGUAUGCGAAGGGUAAUUGUGAAUAUUUGUGAAUGAUAGUGCCUGUUACAUGCCGGGAGCUGUAUAGGUGG